Molecule: ribosomal RNA, 253 nt
Filed under: uncultured bacterium
Lineage: Bacteria
Description: partial 16S ribosomal RNA
Rfam family: Bacterial small subunit ribosomal RNA
Source: RNAcentral
UACGAAGGGGGCUAGCGUUGCUCGGAAUGACUGGGCGUAAAGGGCGUGUAGGUGGUUUCGUAAGUCUGGCGUGAAAUUUUUCGGCUUAACCGGGAAAGGUCGUCGGAUACUGCGGAACUAGAGGACGGUAGAGGCGUGUGGAAUUCCGGGUGUAGUGGUGAAAUGCGUAGAGAUCCGGAGGAACACCAGUGGCGAAGGCGACACGCUGGGCCGUACCUGACACUGAUGCGCGACAGCAUGGGGAGCAAACAGG